RNAcentral lists this non-coding RNA (50 nucleotides) under Aminobacter sp. RNAcentral's name for it is "Guanidine-II sequence". It matches the Rfam family "Guanidine-II riboswitch aptamer (mini-ykkC)". From Rfam's summary of the family: Simpler in structure and has fewer highly conserved nucleotide positions than the ykkC-yxkD leader. Lineage: Bacteria; Pseudomonadati; Pseudomonadota; Alphaproteobacteria; Hyphomicrobiales; Phyllobacteriaceae. The record is from RNAcentral.
GCGCAGGAACGAUCUUGCGCCUUUCCGAAAAACCGGCCGGGACGACCCGC